This 253-nucleotide ribosomal RNA is filed under the name uncultured bacterium. Its description in RNAcentral is "partial 16S ribosomal RNA". It matches the Rfam family "Bacterial small subunit ribosomal RNA", at positions 524 to 776 of the family's 1533-position model. The record is from RNAcentral.
UACGUAGGGUGCAAGCGUUGUCCGGAAUUAUUGGGCGUAAAGAGCUCGUAGGCGGUCUGUCACGUCGGCUGUGAAAUCCCGAGGCUUAACCCCGAGCCUGCAGUGGAUACGGGCAGACUAGAGGUAGGUAGGGGAGAAUGGAAUUCCCGGUGUAGCGGUGAAAUGCGCAGAUAUCAGGAGGAACACCGGUGGCGAAGGCGGGUCUCUGGGCCGUUACUGACGCUGAGGAGCGAAAGCGUGGGGAGCGAACAGG